AUACGUACUGUGCAAACGUUAUUCGGAAUCACUGGGCUUAAAGGGUGCGUAGGCGGUUGAUUAAGUAGGGUGUGAAAGCUCUCGGCCUAACCGAGGAAUUGCGCUCUAAACUGAUCAACUUGAGUGAGAUAGGGGUGUGCGGAACUUCCAGUGGAGCGGUGAAAUGUGUUGAUAUUGGAAGGAACGCCGGUGGCGAAAGCGGCACACUGGGUCUCAACUGACGCUGAGGCACGAAAGCCAGGGUAGCGAACGGGAUUAGAAACCCCAGUAGUCC
This 274-nucleotide ribosomal RNA is filed under the name uncultured bacterium. RNAcentral's name for it is "partial 16S ribosomal RNA". It matches the Rfam family "Bacterial small subunit ribosomal RNA", at positions 523 to 796 of the family's 1533-position model. The record is from RNAcentral.